Cephus cinctus (wheat stem sawfly) is the source of this 679-nucleotide long non-coding RNA. RefSeq lists it as uncharacterized. The record is from RefSeq and is a predicted model, not a curated record. The transcript has 2 exons. Lineage: Eukaryota; Metazoa; Arthropoda; Insecta; Hymenoptera; Cephidae.
GAUUUCUCGGAAGCAACUUACCACAUCGCUGAUCCAGAACACCUGGUACCUUUCCAACGGUCUUAAAUCACCUUUGCACAAUUUGAUCGAGGUUACGUCCAUUUGUACCAUCGCACUGCGUGAAGUUGGUACAAGCGGCUGCAGCAACUGGGACAGUAGUACCGUGCUGGAAGGAUACAGAGUGGAAUGGUAGGUGCUGGGAUGCUGCACGUCUUGUUGAACCACGUUACGAACACUGGAUACAGGGAAUCAGUGAAGAGACUGAAUGGCGGAAGAAGAGAACGGAAAGAGAGAGAGAGAAGGAGAAGAGGGCUAAUACCGUGCCAUGUAUGUAGGAAAAGGAACUAGGCAGAUAUAUAGCCUCAGAAUUGGUUAAGAAUCGAUCGAUUGGAUAAGAUUGCGAAGAAUCCUCCGAGUACAAGAAUGGUGUUAUUUACGAGGAAUCUCCUGGGACACCUUCGAUUGCAACACGUCACGGAUUAACUGCUCUCAAAUCUUUCGGACCCUCUUUUUGGCCCCCUGGCCUCACGGUCCUCGUUAUCAGCCGAAAAUUCCUGAUCGUCCCUUAGGUCUUUGGAUACGUGCGCUUCAUCAUGUUUUCAUAGCGGAUAUCAUUGGAUCUAAUAAAGCUUAGUUGAGUAAAUUGAUUAGGUAAAUAAAUAACGAGAAUGCAAUUUCA